RNAcentral lists this ribosomal RNA (549 nucleotides) under uncultured Glomus. Its description in RNAcentral is "partial 18S ribosomal RNA". Lineage: Eukaryota; Fungi; Glomeromycota; Glomeromycetes; Glomerales; Glomeraceae. The record is from RNAcentral.
UUUCCCGUAAGGCGCCGAAUGAGUCAUUAAAAAAAUUAACAUCAUCCGAUCCCUAGUCGGCAUAGUUUAUGGUUAAGACUACGACGGUAUCUGAUCGUCUUCGAUCCCCUAACUUUCGUUCUUGAUUAAUGAAAACAUCCCUUGGCAAAUGCUUUCGCAGUAGUUAGUCUUCAAUAAAUCCAAGAAUUUCACCUCUGACAAUUGAAUACUAAUGCCCCCAACUAUCCCUAUUAAUCAUUACGUCAAUCCUAGAAACCAACAAAAUAGGAUCAAACGUCCUAUUUCAUUAUUCCAUGCUAAUGUAUUCAAGCGUUAGCUUGCUUUAAACACUCUAAUUUUUUCAAAGUAACAGUCCUGUUUCCCUGCAACACCAAAUUAAUGACAUUACAGUUCUUCAGAAAGGAGGAAUCAGCGAAACCAGUGCGUACCAGAGGCACGACCAACCUGCUGACCCCGAAAUUCAACUACGAGCUUUUUAACUGCAACAACUUUAAUAUACGCUAUUGGAGCUGGAAUUACCGCGGCUGCUGGCACCAGACUUGCCCUCCA